This 1392-nucleotide long non-coding RNA is filed under the name Homo sapiens (human). RNAcentral's name for it is "HSALNT0342414". Lineage: Eukaryota; Metazoa; Chordata; Mammalia; Primates; Hominidae. The record is from RNAcentral.
UACUUUCAGAUCGCAUGAACGCAUUCCUGGACACCAGCCACAGUUGCUAAAACUAAAUGGGAUCCUGCAGACCCAUUGACGGACUGUCAUAGCCAACUCAAUCACAGUCGAGAAGCAUUUGAAUACUUACAGCCUAUGGCGCUAGGAUCCUGGUAGCGAAGAAACUAAACUCUAAUUUGAAAUGUUGUACAGUACGUAUUGAAUAUUAAUGGGAGCACGGCAUUGUUCACUGUGUGAUCGUUUACUUUUAAAAUGAUGUCACAGCCCCCUGGUACACACGGUUCUCAUCUAAAUUUGCAUCUUUUUUAACGCUAGGAUAACUAUGAAAGAGCAUACGAUUGUGAUUCUGAGUUUCUUACUGGAUUUGCUUUUUAAACUGCAGAAUGAAAUUAGUUGUUUCAAGAAGUAAAGUACAGGCAUGUCGAAGUAAAAUUCAACAAUGGGUUGUUGGGCAAAAAGAUUAUAAAAGUCCUGGGGUGUGCCAGGGUCAAAAAAAAAAAAAAAAGCUUGUCCCUGGGGUUAUCUUGGCAAAAAAGAAACCACCACCACAGGUUCUAAAUGCAGAUAAGACUGGCAGAAAAAUGCAGACCAAACUAUUCUGCAUUUUGAAAGUGAAUGUGCCUGUGUGACAUUGGAGGAAUGUAAAGAACUGUAUGUCAAGUGUGGACUUUAUCUCCUCAGGCUAGCUUAGAGUGGCUGCUGAACUUAAGGGUGAUUAAGAGCUGCUUGCACCUGGGUGGAGCUGAAACUGCAUAAGGUGAAUAAUACCUUUGUGCAACAGAAGAAAAAAAAAAAAGUAACAGCAUACAUACAAACCCAAAGGAUAAAUUCAGGACCGGCUGCAUCUCCACUCCUGAAUUAGAGGAGACAGCACUGAUUGCAGUGACAGAAGCGGUGCCAGCUAACUCCCCACCAUCAAAAGUAUCUUCUGCUGUAGCCUGGCACAAGUUUCAAGCAUCCACUGGGGGUCUUGGGAUGUGUCGCCCUGCAGAUAAGGGCAACUGCUGUGCAGCAUGAACAGUAUGGAGACAAUACUUAUCUUCAUGGAGUUUAUAUUAGAGUAAGACAAGAGGUAGGAGACUGCCUAUUUUAUUGUUCUCUUGAAAAGACUGGGUAUUUUACUUUUAUGAAAGGCUUUAUAGCCUGCAGGGGCAUUCUAAUAUGGAUUUUGGGGGUGAAGAGACAAAUAGGUGUGGAAAGUAAGUUCAGGGGUUCAGAGACCCAUAGGUUUUUUAAAAGAGAAGUCAGGGGAAGGUCUCUUAAGGUAGUAGUGGAGUCCAAAUUAUUCUAUGUCCCUUGUAGCUCCUACCCUUUGUAUGCAGUAGUUUUUUUUUUAAAUCGAAGACGGGGGAAGGUCUCUUAAGGUAAUAGUAGAGACCAAAUUAUUCUAUC